Oryzias javanicus (javanese ricefish) is the source of this 1598-nucleotide long non-coding RNA. Lineage: Eukaryota; Metazoa; Chordata; Actinopteri; Beloniformes; Adrianichthyidae. The record is from Ensembl.
AUGUUAGGUUUCCCAGGCCGGCAUGAAUUCGUACAAGUUCCAAAGAAGUUUUCGAGGAGACUGGAGGUGCGCAUCUACCGCGCGCCACAGGUGACUACUGUAAAGCUGAUUGCGCGCGCCGUCAUCCCCCCCUCUCCAACCCCACCCCGUCGACUUGUCCACCUUAGAAAGAAAAAAAAAGAAAAAGCGGCCGCUUUAUACCGGAGGUCACUCCCACGACCAGCAGACGAGGCAGCCCGGCGACUGUGGCAGAAAGAGAGUGAGAGUGAGGGGGGGAGAGAGCUCGACAAGUUGGUAAGGAAAGAAAAAGAGGGAUGGAUCAAACUGGAUCCACCGGUUCCUAAGGAAUUAGCCAUAGCGACAGGGAGCAGCCAAGCUAUUUUCAACAACCGAGGGACGAGAAAUCCGUGGGAUGCAACGUCUGCGGGGCUUGGAGCGCGCAGACGGCUGCAAAUUCAACAGGUUCCCCGCAGUAGAGCCACCCGUCUGCCCCCCUCCCCGCCUCUCCCCUCCCCUCAUCGCAGACGCUCCUUGCUGCCUUUUACGCGGACGUGCGCCUCCAGCAGCAUCUGCAGUUCAGCGACAAUGAACAACAGCAAGUAGGAGCCGCGCAUUCAGGGAGCGCGCCCCUGCUCCCCGUUUAUUUGUUUUAAUUUACCUGUAAACACCGAGGAGUUUCUAUAAUCCCGCCAACUUGAACACUGAUCCAGACGGAACGUCUCCGCGCAGAAGAAGAAGUCCCUCCCGCGCAGCCUCCUGCAGCGCGCACCGAAGGGCUGCUCGUUCCGAUGAGGCAGAGAGCAGCAACAGUUAGGAAAUCCACGGUGACUUCCUCCUCCAUGUCCUCUAGAGCGCGGCAGAGCAGCACUACAGCCGACCGAGGCAGGCGCACACAUCCAUCAUCGUGCGCAGCCUUGCUCUCCGCUCGGUGAUCGAUUAAGUUUCAAGAGGCCUUUAGUGCACCGGCCCGCUGCUGCUGCUGCUGCUGCUGCUCUGCUCUUCUGUGGCGCACAGACACUCGUGACAUCUUCCGUUUGGGAAUAACCCCACUGCCACGUGCGGGUUUUUUCCCUACAUGUUUAUAGGUUUGGGAAGUAUUAUUAUAAGGGAUGAUGGUUUAUUUGUGCUGCAUUACAAUUCAUGUUCUUUUUUUAGUCAUGCAAGCUUGAAUGUAGGUUCUAGAAAGCAGAAUCUAUCUUACUUUGUUUUAUUUUUCUCACAAAUUGAAUUAUAUAUAUGUUUUUAUUUUUUCCAAUCAAGUCAAGAUUAAUCAAAGUAAGAUAUACUGAUGUAGACAUAGAUCCUGUUUGCCUCUUUUAAUAAAAACAUAUUGUAUUAUUGCUUAAAAUAAACCAAUUCCAGAAAAAAAGUGUUAAUUGAUUUUUUUUUCAAAUAAAUAUAAAUGUUUACAGUCAAAUUAAAGCAGUUGAAAAUCUCUUCAUAUUUUUAUCAUCAUAUCAAGUUUUAGGUGUUUGAACUGUUGCUUACAUUCUUUUUUAUUAAAUUUAUUGAACGUUGUGCAUUGUAACACUGAAAAGUCCCUACUUUUAACUUCUGCCAAUUUCUACCAAAAAAUCUAUAAUAUCUCUUAAGUAGAU